AAAUUUUUGGUCUCGUGUCAUGAAAAUUGCAUUCUUUUCUAUUGCAUUAAAAUGUUUGUACAUGACGCCGGGCGAUUUAUCUUUCAGUUUAGCUACGUGGACGUCUCCUGUCGUAUCUAGACAUAUCAGCAUCAACGGAAGAGUGGGCCAGUACUGAAUCCGGAAGAGUGAGCCAGCACCUAGGGUACAUACGUUUAAGAGUGCCUGCUAAAAUUAAAGCUCGGACCACGAACUUAGGACAUCGUAGAUGAAGGAGGGAUUGCUAGCGGUGGCCUACGACGCCCUCUCGGAGGACGUGAGGCGAACUACAUAGUUUGACAAGCGAUAGGAGAUAAUCAAUAACCAUGUCCGUGGAUAAAAUAUAAAAUAAUAAAAACGUACGUUGUAUGAA
This is a long non-coding RNA of Danaus plexippus (monarch butterfly), 391 nucleotides long. RefSeq lists it as uncharacterized. Lineage: Eukaryota; Metazoa; Arthropoda; Insecta; Lepidoptera; Nymphalidae. The record is from RefSeq and is a predicted model, not a curated record. The transcript is spliced from 2 exons.